This is a long non-coding RNA of Equus asinus (donkey), 2221 nucleotides long. The record is from Ensembl. NCBI's taxonomy places the organism in Eukaryota, Metazoa, Chordata, Mammalia, Perissodactyla, Equidae.
AAAUAAUCAAAGAAGCUUAGAAAGAGCAGAUAAAGAAAAUAAAACUUUAUUGCUUAUUCAACCUUCCAAAGGAAUGAAACACGAGCACAGCCUGCUCAAGUGCAGAGACACAGGGCAGAACAGAAGCCUGCACACAGUAGGGCAGUCCAGUGGGACCAUAGAGCCUGUGGAUGAGCAGAGCAGACACACGCAACAUGCGUGUCCGCUGUUCCUUGCCACCCCAUCUGCAUGCUGCACUGGUGACCCCUGAGCACAGCUUCCUGGGAGCUCCUCACUGCAUGGAGUUAAGCGAGACUCAAAGCAAAGACAAGCACUUCUGCUGAAAACGAUGACACAAAAGGAAAGAGAAAGAAGAUGAACCCACAGCCCCUUCUGCCAUCAAUCCUCCUUUCUCCUCGUAAGCUGAAGGAAAUUUAAUGCUAAAUGUCUGCUUUCUGGGUUCAAAAAGCCAGGAGAAUUUCUGGAAUUUCCAUUUGUGAGAUGAUGGCAAAAGGAAAGUUUUAUAUUUAUCAGGAAUCAGAGGCCUUUGGGAGUACUUGGAGUCCACAGAGGAAGGAGACCCUACCUCAGCGCCUCAGCUCUACUCUGCACACCAUCUAAGCUCUCUGAAGGCCUCUGGGUAAUGACUGAUUUCCUGUCGUUGCGCUUGGCCAGCCUCAGGGCACAGUGAGGGGAGGAGAAUGCCUAACCAGGGCUUGUGGCCUAUGAGUCAUAACAUUUCCAUAUUUAUCCUGCACCAACAACCAGGACCAAGAAUGACCUGCCAAUGUCCAGCUUUGGGACCAGACUGAUCUCAGCUGAAAUCUCAGCGGGCCGCGGUGGAUCCCUCACUUCCUAACAGUGAAAUGCUGAAGAUGGCAGCAUAGGAGGGCUCUGAACUCACCUCCUCCCAUGGACACAGCAAAUUUACAACCACCCUGGAAAAAUGACACCUGAAAGAGAACCAGAAACUGCAUAAAAAGAACCCCCACAACAGGGGACAGUGCAGACUGAAGUGGAAGAAGCAGAAAUUCCUUUCUGGAGAGGGAAAAGCCAUAUUCUAGCCACAGUGCUUCUUGGCCGAGAGCAAUCUUAAGGUUUGGUCUCCUGCAGUGAUGGCUUGCGCUGUUGACCACACACGGUGUUGCAGCUCUGCUCCCACAGCUAACCAACCUCUUCUUAGUACCUGUGUUCUAGAACUCCUUAGAGAGAAAUCUGAUUGACCCAGCUUGGGCCAAGUAUCUGCCCCUGGUCCAACGGGGGGCCAGCUCCAGGGGCAAUGGCCAGCCCAGCAUCCCUGAAAGAAGAGUCUGGGUGGGGAGGCAAUGAUGGAUGCUUGUCAUUGAGCUGUAGGCACAGUGGACUGCAUAUGUUCCACCUCGGAGCUUUGUCAUGCAUAGGACAACGUGUAGAAAACACCUAACCAGACACACAGUAGACACUCAGUAAAGAUGAGCUUCUUCUCUACCUCAUUCUUCUUCCCAAGAAUUCAUCAGCAUUUAGGAUCCUGGUUAACCAUGUCUAGCAGGAUAGCCUGGGUAGGGUGGCCUUCUGAACCCGUGGUCUGCUCCCUUGCAAGCUGCACAGCUAGUGCCAUCUCAGGGCUCCAGCACAUUCUCAGCUCCCAGCUCCACAGGACAAACGGAAUCUUCAGGGCUGCCAGCUCAGGACACUGGGGCGUAGUCACACACCUCUCCUUCUUCACACUCUAGAGAAGUGUGACCAUUUGUCAAAGAUUUUUUUUUUUUGGCAGAAAAGGCGACUGAAAUUAUGGAUGUGUAAAAUUGUACCUUGAUCUCAUGGGUCUAAACUGGAAUCCAAAUGCUUGACUGAAUGCAUGGAUGCCACAGCACGUGUGUUCUUUUAUGCCAGUGCAUGGGCAGCGAAAACUUUGUAAUCUUAACAAACAGACACAUGGCUUUUAAACUUAGCAUGAAGGGUUGAUACAGAUGUCACGUUUAGUUCAGCCCUUGUUCUGGCACCCACCGCGUGAGCGCCCUGCCCCUCACUGGGCGUCUGCAGUAGGACAGUGGCCGGGGCUAUGACAUUGCCCAGCAAGUUGCUGUCCUCACAGUGUGCCUUGGCCCUCAGGAAUCUGCUCACAGGGGCAGGCUCUGAGGGAGGGGCUGCCUGGUGUAUUUUCAUUUCGAAGUGCUGUGUUUCCACCUGUAGUACACUAAAGAUGCGUUGGUCUAGCAUUUAUUAUUUCCUGAAGGUAAAAAAGAAACUCCUUCCUUCUCAG